RNAcentral lists this ribosomal RNA (330 nucleotides) under uncultured bacterium. RNAcentral's name for it is "bacterial SSU rRNA". It matches the Rfam family "Bacterial small subunit ribosomal RNA", at positions 568 to 898 of the family's 1533-position model. The record is from RNAcentral.
UUCGUAGGCGGUGCGGCAAGUCGGGAGUGAAAUCUCUGGGCUUAACUCAGAGGCUGCUUUCGAAACUGCCGCGCUCGAGUGCGGGAGAGGCCAGUGGAAUUGCAGGUGUAGCGGUGAAAUGCGUAGAUAUCUGCAGGAACACCCGUGGCGAAGGCGGCUGGCUGGACCGCAACUGACGCUGAGGAACGAAAGCUAGGGGAGCAAACAGGAUUAGAUACCCUGGUAGUCCUAGCCCUAAACCAUCAGGACUUGGGGUGGCCCGCGUAGGCGGGUCGUCCCGUAGCUAACGCGUUAAGUCCUGCGCCUGGGGAGUACGGUCGCAAGACUGAA